AUUGAACGCUGGCGGAAUGCUUUACACAUGCAAGUCGAACGGCAGCACGGACUCCGGUCUGGUGGCGAGUGGCGAACGGGUGAGUAAUGUAUCGGAACGUGCCCAGUCGUGGGGGAUAACGUAGUGAAAAUUACGCUAAUACCGCAUACGAUCUAUGGAUGAAAGCGGGGGAUCGCAAGACCUCGCGCGAUUGGAGCGGCCGAUAUCAGAUUAGGUAGUUGGUGGGGUAAAGGCCCACCAAGCCAACGAUCUGUAGCUGGUCUGAGAGGACGACCAGCCACACUGGUACUGAGACACGGUCCAGACUCCUACGGGAGGCAGCAGUGGGGAAUUGUGGACAAUGGGCGAAAGCCUGAUCCAGCCAUUCCGCGUGCAGGAUGAAGGCCCUCGGGUUGUAAACUGCUUUUGUACAGAACGAAAAGGUUUCUACUAAUACUAGGAGCUCAUGACGGUACUGUAAGAAUAAGCACCGGCUAACUACGUGCCAGCCGCCGCCGUAA
Molecule: ribosomal RNA, 500 nt
Filed under: uncultured bacterium
Lineage: Bacteria
Description: partial 16S ribosomal RNA
Rfam family: Bacterial small subunit ribosomal RNA
Source: RNAcentral